Molecule: ribosomal RNA, 262 nt
Filed under: uncultured Oscillospiraceae bacterium
Lineage: Bacteria; Bacillati; Bacillota; Clostridia; Eubacteriales; Oscillospiraceae
Description: partial 16S ribosomal RNA
Rfam family: Bacterial small subunit ribosomal RNA
Source: RNAcentral
AAUCUUUUCAUAACUUAGUGGCGAACGGGUGAGUAACGCGUGAGCAAUCUGCCUCGGAGUGGGGGACAACAGUUGGAAACGACUGCUAAUACCGCAUAAUGUGUCGGGAGGGCAUCCUUCUGAUACCAAAGCUUUAUGUGCUCUGAGAUGAGCUCGCGUCUGAUUAGAUAGUUGGUGGGGUAACGGCCUACCAAGUCGACGAUCAGUAGCCGGACUGAGAGGUUGAACGGCCACAUUGGGACUGAGAUACGGCCCAGACUCC